ACUCAAAUGAAUUGACGGGGGCCCGCACAAGCGGUGGAGCAUGUGGUUUAAUUCGAAGCAACGCGAAGAACCUUACCAGGUCUUGACAUCCCGCUGACCGGUAUAGAGAUAUACCUUUCCCUUCGGGGACAGCGGUGACAGGUGGUGCAUGGUUGUCGUCAGCUCGUGUCGUGAGAUGUUGGGUUAAGUCCCGCAACGAGCGCAACCCUUGAUCUUAGUUGCCAGCAUUUAGUUGGGCACUCUAAGGUGACUGCCGGUGACAAACCGGAGGAAGGUGGGGAUGACGUCAAAUCAUCAUGCCCCUUAUGACCUGGGCUACACACGUGCUACAAUGGAUGGUACAAAGGGCAGCAAAACCGCGAGGUCAAGCCAAUCCCAUAAAACCAUUCUCAGUUCGGAUUGCAGGCUGCAACUCGCCUGCAUGAAGCCGGAAUCGCUAGUAAUCGUGGAUCAGCAUGCCACGGUGAAUACGUUCCCGGGCCUUGUACACACCGCCCGU
Molecule: ribosomal RNA, 499 nt
Filed under: uncultured bacterium
Lineage: Bacteria
Description: bacterial SSU rRNA
Rfam family: Bacterial small subunit ribosomal RNA
Source: RNAcentral